RNAcentral lists this long non-coding RNA (225 nucleotides) under Podarcis lilfordi (Lilford's wall lizard). The record is from RNAcentral. Lineage: Eukaryota; Metazoa; Chordata; Lepidosauria; Squamata; Lacertidae.
GCCCAAGAAGAGCAAAUAAGGUUGACUUACUGAGAAAUGAGGACCAAACCAAAUUCUCUUCUGCCUCUAUUUCUCUAGGAAGCUCUUCUUGAUCUUCAUCAAGGAUGCCCAAAGUGCAAAAAAAUACCUGGAAGAAAUGGAACGGCACCUUCACAUUUUCCUCCUCUCAGUAUCUCUCAAGUAUAAAAUUAAACACUCAGAAGAGUCAGGCCAACCAUCCGAUAA